AUUGAACGCUGGCGGCAGGCCUAACACAUGCAAGUCGAGCGGAUGAAGGGAGCUUGCUCCUGGAUUCAGCGGCGGACGGGUGAGUAAUGCCUAGGAAUCUGCCUGGUAGUGGGGGAUAACGUCCGGAAACGGGCGCUAAUACCGCAUACGUCCUGAGGGAGAAAGUGGGGGAUCUUCGGACCUCACGCUAUCAGAUGAGCCUAGGUCGGAUUAGCUAGUUGGUGGGGUAAAGGCCUACCAAGGCGACGAUCCGUAACUGGUCUGAGAGGAUGAUCAGUCACACUGGAACUGAGACACGGUCCAGACUCCUACGGGGGGCAGCAGUGGGGAAUAUUGGACAAUGGGCGAAAGCCUGAUCCAGCCAUGCCGCGUGUGUGAAGAAGGUCUUCGGAUUGUAAAGCACUUUAAGCUGGGAGGAAGGGCAGUAAGUUAAUACCUUGCUGUUUUGACGUUACCAACAGAAUAAGCACCGGCUAACUUCGUG
This 484-nucleotide ribosomal RNA is filed under the name uncultured bacterium. RNAcentral describes it as "partial 16S ribosomal RNA". It matches the Rfam family "Bacterial small subunit ribosomal RNA", at positions 30 to 507 of the family's 1533-position model. The record is from RNAcentral.